Molecule: transfer RNA, 75 nt
Filed under: Deltaproteobacteria bacterium
Lineage: Bacteria; Pseudomonadati; Myxococcota; Myxococcia
Description: tRNA-Ile
Rfam family: tRNA
About the family: Transfer RNA (tRNA) molecules are approximately 80 nucleotides in length. Their secondary structure includes four short double-helical elements and three loops (D, anti-codon, and T loops).
Source: RNAcentral
GGGCCUAUAGCUCAACGGUAGAGCCACCGGCUCAUAACCGGUAGGUUCCAGGUUCAAAUCCUGGUGGGCCCACCA